This 523-nucleotide ribosomal RNA is filed under the name uncultured bacterium. RNAcentral describes it as "bacterial SSU rRNA". It matches the Rfam family "Bacterial small subunit ribosomal RNA", at positions 777 to 1297 of the family's 1533-position model. The record is from RNAcentral.
AAUAGAUACCCUGGUAGUCCACGCCGUAAACGAUGAGUGCUAAGUGUUAGAGGGUUUCCGCCCUUUAGUGCUGCAGCUAACGCAUUAAGCACUCCGCCUGGGGAGUACGGCCGCAAGGCUGAAACUCAAAGGAAUUGACGGGGGCCCGCACAAGCGGUGGAGCAUGUGGUUUAAUUCGAAGCAACGCGAAGAACCUUACCAGGUCUUGACAUCCUCUGCCAACCCUAGAGAUAGGGUGUUCCCCUUCGGGGGACAGAGUGACAGGUGGUGCAUGGUUGUCGUCAGCUCGUGUCGUGAGAUGUUGGGUUAAGUCCCGCAACGAGCGCAACCCUUGAUCUUAGUUGCCAGCAUUUAGUUGGGCACUCUAAGGUGACUGCCGGUGACAAACCGGAGGAAGGUGGGGAUGACGUCAAAUCAUCAUGCCCCCUUAUGACCUGGGCUACACACGUGCUACAAUGGAUGGUACAAAGGGCUGCGAACCCGCGAGGGUAAGCCAAUCUCAUAAAGCCAUUCUCAGUUCGGA